This is a non-coding RNA of Prunus avium (sweet cherry), 427 nucleotides long. Lineage: Eukaryota; Viridiplantae; Streptophyta; Magnoliopsida; Rosales; Rosaceae. The record is from RefSeq and is a predicted model, not a curated record.
CAUUGGGGGAAGCAUGAACCCUAGCGUUAAGAGUGAAGCCAACCUCUUCAUUGCACCAAAAUCGAGAAACAAUAAAGAGAUCACUUGGAGGAAGGACAGCAUUGGAAACAAAGAAUCCUGGAAGUUUUACUCGGUAGGAGAUAUCUUUGAAAAUGGGGCUUCUUUCGUGGAAACAGGUGCCGGCAGAGCAAAGCCAAACUAUAACGGAGAACAAACUUUCACAGUUGUUAAUGCCAAAACUGUCCGCUCAUUGACAAGGUCAUCUGGUGCUUUAAAAUGCAUCAAAAGAUCCAGAUGCUAAUUAAGUCUUACGCCCAUCUUGCGAUGUGGAGAUAUGAUAUGCAUACAUAUAUUUAUAAACAUGCCUGCACCUCAACAGAAAUAAUUAGGCUACACUCUCUGUUAUAUUACUAAAUUCUACUUUUAA